Molecule: microRNA, 23 nt
Filed under: Mus musculus (house mouse)
Lineage: Eukaryota; Metazoa; Chordata; Mammalia; Rodentia; Muridae
Description: mmu-miR-6994-5p
Source: miRBase by way of RNAcentral
ACAAAGGUGGGUGAAGCCGGUGA